This 497-nucleotide ribosomal RNA is filed under the name uncultured bacterium. RNAcentral's name for it is "partial 16S ribosomal RNA". It matches the Rfam family "Bacterial small subunit ribosomal RNA", at positions 28 to 507 of the family's 1533-position model. The record is from RNAcentral.
GAUGAACGCUGGCGGCGUGCCUAAUACAUGCGAGUCGAGCGAACGGACGAGAAGCUUGCUUCUCUGAUGUUAGCGGCGGACGGGUGAGUAACACGUGGAUAACCUACCUAUAAGACUGGGAUAACUUCGGGAAACCGGAGCUAAUACCGGAUAAUAUUUUGAACCGCAUGGUUCAAAAGUGAAAGACGGUCUUGCUGUCACUUAUAGAUGGAUCCGCGCUGCAUUAGCUAGUUGGUAAGGUAACGGCUUACCAAGGCAACGAUGCAUAGUCGACCUGAGAGGGUGAUCGGCCACACUGGAACUGAGACACGGUCCAGACUCCUACGGGAGGCAGCAGUAGGGAAUCUUCCGCAAUGGGCGAAAGCCUGACGGAGCAACGCCGCGUGAGUGAUGAAGGUCUUCGGAUCGUAAAACUCUGUUAUUAGGGAAGAACAUAUGUGUAAGUAACUGUGCACAUCUUGACGGUACCUAAUCAGAAAGCCACGGCUAACUACGUG